GGACGGGUGAGUAACACGUGGAUAACCUACCUAUAAGACUGGGAUAACUUCGGGAAACCGGAGCUAAUACCGGAUAACAUAUUGAACCGCAUGGUUCAAUAGUGAAAGGCGGCUUUGCUGUCACUUAUAGAUGGAUCCGCGCCGUAUUAGCUAGUUGGUAAGGUAACGGCUUACCAAGGCAACGAUACGUAGCCGACCUGAGAGGGUGAUCGGCCACACUGGAACUGAGACACGGUCCAGACUCCUACGGGAGGCAGCAGUAGGGAAUCUUCCGCAAUGGGCGAAAGCCUGACGGAGCAACGCCGCGUGAGUGAUGAAGGUCUUCGGAUCGUAAAACUCUGUUAUCAGGGAAGAACAAAUGUGUAAGUAACUGUGCACAUCUUGACGGUACCUGAUCAGAAAGCCACGGCUAACUACGUGCCAGCAGCCGCGGUAAUACGUAGGUGGCAAGCGUUAUCCGGAAUUAUUGGGCGUAAAGCGCGCGUAGGCGGUUUUUUAAGUCUGAKGUGAAAGCCCACGGCUCAACCGUGGAGGGUCAUUGGAAACUGGAAAACUUUGAGUGCAGAAGAGGAAAGUGGAAUUCCAUGUGUAGCGGUGAAAUGCGCAGAGAUAUGGAGGAACACCAGUGGCGAAGGCGACUUUUCUGGUCUGUAACUGACGCUGAUGUGCGAAGCGUGGGGAUCAAACAGGAUUAGAUACCCUGGUAGUCCACGCCGUAAACGAUGAGUGCUAAGUGUUAGGGGGUUUCCGCCCCUUAGUGCUGCAGCUAACGCAUUAAGCACUCCGCCUGGGGAGUACGACCGCAAGGUUGAAACUCAAAGGAAUUGACGGGGACCCGCACAAGCGGUGGAGCAUGUGGUUUAAUUCGAAGCAACGCGAAGAACCUUACCAAAUCUUGACAUCCUUUGACCGCUCUAGAGAUAGAGUCUUCCCCUUCGGGGGACAAAGUGACAGGUGGUGCAUGGUUGUCGUCAGCUCGUGUCGUGAGAUGUUGGGUUAAGUCCCGCAACGAGCGCAACCCUUAAGCUUAGUUGCCAUCAUUAAGUUGGGCACUCUAAGUUGACUGCCGGUGACAAACCGGAGGAAGGUGGGGAUGACGUCAAAUCAUCAUGCCCCUUAUGAUUUGGGCUACACACGUGCUACAAUGGACAAUACAAAGGGCAGCUAAACCGCGAGGUCAAGCAAAUCCCAUAAAGUKGUUCUCAGUUCGGAUUGUAGUCUGCAACUCGACUACAUGAAGCUGGAAUCGCUAGUAAUCGUARAUCAGCAUGCUACGGKGAAUACGUUCCCNGGGUCUUGGACACACCGCCCGGUCACACCACGAAGAGUUUGUUAACCCCCGAAGCC
This 1347-nucleotide ribosomal RNA is filed under the name Staphylococcus sp. IIL-Nv4. Its description in RNAcentral is "bacterial SSU rRNA". It matches the Rfam family "Bacterial small subunit ribosomal RNA", at positions 100 to 1428 of the family's 1533-position model. Lineage: Bacteria; Bacillati; Bacillota; Bacilli; Caryophanales; Staphylococcaceae. The record is from RNAcentral.